GGGGGGGGCUAGCGUUGUUCGGAAUUACUGGGCGUAAAGGGCUCGUAGGUGGCCAACUCAGUCACACGUGAAAUCCCUCGGCUUAACCGGGGAACUGCGUGUGAUACUGGAUGGCUUGAAUCCGGGAGAGGGAUGCGGAAUUCCAGGUGUAGCGGUGAAAUGCGUAGAUAUCUGGAGGAACACCGGUGGCGAAGGCGGCAUCCUGGACCGGCAUUGACACUGAGGAGCGAAAGCCAGGGGAGCAAACGGGAUUAGAUACCCCGGUAGUCCUGGCCCUAAACGAUGAAUGCUUGGUGUGACGGGUAUCGAUCCCUGUCGUGCCGAAGCUAACGCAUUAAGCAUUCCGCCUGGGGAGUACGGUCGCAAGGCUGAA
This 373-nucleotide ribosomal RNA is filed under the name uncultured bacterium. Its description in RNAcentral is "bacterial SSU rRNA". It matches the Rfam family "Bacterial small subunit ribosomal RNA", at positions 527 to 898 of the family's 1533-position model. The record is from RNAcentral.